AUGCUCACUUCGGCAGCACAUAUGCUAAAAUUGGAAUGAUACAGAGAAGAUUACCAUGGCCACUGCCCAAGGAUAACAUGAAAAUUCAUGAAGGAUUUCAUAUUACU
This 107-nucleotide small nuclear RNA is filed under the name Dasypus novemcinctus (nine-banded armadillo). The record is from RNAcentral. Lineage: Eukaryota; Metazoa; Chordata; Mammalia; Cingulata; Dasypodidae.